This 407-nucleotide ribosomal RNA is filed under the name uncultured microorganism. Its description in RNAcentral is "bacterial SSU rRNA". It matches the Rfam family "Bacterial small subunit ribosomal RNA", at positions 9 to 413 of the family's 1533-position model. The record is from RNAcentral.
GAGUUUGAUCAUGGCUCAGAUUGAACGCUGGCGGCAUGCCUUACACAUGCAAGUCGAACGGCAGCAUGAUCUAGCUUGCUAGAUUGAUGGCGAGUGGCGAACGGGUGAGUAAUACAUCGGAACGUGCCCUGUAGUGGGGGAUAACUAGUCGAAAGAUUAGCUAAUAUCGCAUACGACCUGAGGGUGAAAGUGGGGACCGCAAGGCCUCAUGCUAUAGGAGCGGCCGAUGUCUGAUUAGCUAGUUGGUGGGGUAAAGGCCCACCAAGGCGACGAUCAGUAGCUGGUCUGAGAGGACGAUCAGCCACACUGGGACUGAGACACGGCCCAGACUCCUACGGGAGGCAGCAGUGGGGAAUUUUGGACAAUGGGCGAAAGCCUGAUCCAGCAAUGCCGCGUGUGUGAGAAGG